Molecule: long non-coding RNA, 1038 nt
Filed under: Sarcophilus harrisii (Tasmanian devil)
Lineage: Eukaryota; Metazoa; Chordata; Mammalia; Dasyuromorphia; Dasyuridae
Description: lncRNA (ENSSHAG00000031229.1)
Source: RNAcentral
CACCCCUCCCCCCCAACACAAGACAGAGGCAGAGAAAUGCUGGAACUUUAGCAUUUUAAUCGUUUCUCUCCCGGAGCCGAGGGCGCGCGCUGGAGGCAGCUCAGAACUGGAUCACUUGUCCCUUUCUCUUCUUGUCUCCUCCCAGCUCGAAAUGCUUGCAGCGCUUGAUGGCCAGCAUCCUCUUGGACCUGCAGUUGGGCUCCACGCACUCGAGCCUCAGCACGAUCUUCUUGGUGGUCUUGGCCUUCUUGCGGAAGAUGGGCUUGGUCUGGCCGCCGUAGCCGCUCUGCUUGCGGUCGUAGCGGCGCUUGCCCUGCGCGUACAGGGAGUCCUUGCCCUUCUUGUACUGCGUCACCUUGUGCGGCUGGUGCUUGCCGCACUUCUUGCAGUAGGUGCGCCGGGUCUUGGGCACGUUCACCAUGGCGGCGGCGGCGGCGGCGUCUGCGGAGGCGGCGGCAAAGGAGGAGCUUCCCAACUCCGCUUCACACGGGGCCGGGCUUCUCUUCGGCUUUUCAGCGGCACGAAAGACACGGGAGGAGACGGAAAAAGAGUUCUGAGGGAAAAGCUGCCAGAGCUGAGCGGAGCUCAGCGCGCGCCGACACGAGGCUCUCGGAAAGGAAGGAAGGAAGGGCUGAAGUGCCUUUCUAUUGGCCCGCUCGGGGCGGAAGCGAACAGGAAGCGGAUGUUACCCAGAGGGCAAAGCGCGCUGAGUAGUCCAAAGCUCUUGUAACUUCUGACGAAAGUGCGGAAAUGCUCGGGGAACUCUAUUCUCGGCUGCUUUUCUUGGGACGAAUGUGCUGCUGGGAUAUUGGCGAGCUAUUUACCCUAAUGCUUGAUUGGCGGAGAUUGCUGCGGGUGGAGGCGGGCGUGGUUGCCGUAGCUUGCUCUAGGUCGCCAUGGUGAUGAUGGUUUCGGAAAGCCUCGCUGCAACAUAAUAUAGUGGAUGGAAUUUCUGGUUUCAGAGUCAGAAGAUAAAUUCAAGUCAUGCUUGUGAUACAAAUAACCUGGGUAAGACCCUUAAAAUGUGAGUGUUGUAGG